RNAcentral lists this non-coding RNA (52 nucleotides) under unclassified sequences. RNAcentral's name for it is "glnA RNA". It matches the Rfam family "Glutamine riboswitch aptamer (glnA leader)". The record is from RNAcentral.
GUCGUUCAUCCUUUUUUUAUGAGGACGCAAAAGUUUACUGAAGGAACGGGAA